RNAcentral lists this long non-coding RNA (529 nucleotides) under Polistes fuscatus (common paper wasp). RNAcentral's name for it is "uncharacterized LOC122519184". The record is from RNAcentral. Lineage: Eukaryota; Metazoa; Arthropoda; Insecta; Hymenoptera; Vespidae.
CUUGUCUUCUUUCUUGUCUCAACGGAACUUAAUUAAAAACAGAGAGUUAUUCUGGUGAGUUCGAAAGUUUAACGAGCGAAACGAACGGAAAUGUUGAUUCUCGAGGAAAAGACAUAGUUGAGAUGGCCCAAGGAUAUACCUGCCGUAAAAUCUUUCAAAUUCCUUUUCUCGAUAAUAACAAAAUGGUCGGGGAAAUUUCGAGAGAUGGGAUAAAGAAGAAUACAGCUGUUGAGGGCAUAAUUCUUUUCUUGGACCACCUCCGACGAACUAUUAUUAGAAGAAUAUGAAAGAGGAAAUAAAAAAGAAAAAACAAGAAAUAAAGAAAGAAAGGAAGAAAGAAAGAAUAGGAGAAAAAUUCUUAUUUCUCACAAUUCGAUGUGACACAGUUGUGAAUUUUUGAACAAUGAAAUAAGACAAGGAAGUUUUCCAUUGACAAGGAAAAUUAAAGAAGAAUCUCUUGAUGAAGAAGUGGCUAGAUAGCUGGUAUAAGUACGCGUCACGCACACCAAUAUAAAAAUCCAUAGGCAAA